UUGUUAUUUUUGUUAUAAAUAAAUGGAUUGACAUAUCCGAUGUUAAGUUCAGAAGUUAUGAAACAACGAUAGCGAGUGGAUAUCUGGCAUUUGUAAUGUCCCCGACUGGAAGCAGCUAACAUUGCGACACACAGUCCUCCUCCCCGGGCCGGGAGAGCGAGGGGGAGAGAGGGGGAGACUCCCGGUGCAAAGGGAGGGAAGGGGGACCGUUGAGGAAGGAGUGGCGGUUAUGUGGCAAAACUCUCAACCUCUCUGAAGAGUUGUGUCCUCGCUUGUGUAUUUGUGGAGAAAGGGCAAGGUGAAUCCCAUCCAGCACUUCGUCCCAUAGGAGGAUCCGUGUAACGCGCCCGUGCAGGGAUGGAGGGAGAGAAGGAGCGACAGAGGCAGCAGCGGGAAGAGAAGGAGAGCAACGAGGCGGAGGACAACAGGACCAGCGACGAGGACGCCGACAAUGAUGAAGUGGAGGAGGAGGAAGAUUCAGAAUGCGCAGCCCUGGUCUGGCAAGAGGGCUAUGGCGAAGACAACCUGGGCCUUCCCAUCAUGCACUGGGAGGCGCUAAGCCUGCGCAUUGCCGAGCUGGAGAAGCAGGAGGAGGAAAACAAGGAGAAGAAGGCAAAGAGGGGAGUUUCUCUUGAGAGAGGAAGAGCACCGGUCAGCUGGACGGAGGAGAGAGGAAGAAGAAGGGAGAGCUGGGAAGACGGAGAUGAUGCCUGCAACAGCCACGUGCUGGCGCUCACCUCCCGCCUGCAGACGCAGAUGAACCUGCAGCUCUGCUUCAUCAACAACAGUGAAAGUGAGGAGGAGGAAGAGGACGAGAAGGUGAGCAGCAACACGCGGCUAACUACUGCUGUCUACAGUUGUUAUGGGUGAGCUGGAACAUCUGAGGAGUAACCCUGUCCCCAUAUUGUCCCUCCCUGCUGGUAAAGAAAGGGGCGGCUCAGGUCCAGAAGACUCCUCAGCCUCCUGCCAAGCCGGAGAAACCCAAAUCCAGAGGCUUCAGGAACACCCUGAGGAACCUACGAGACCGCCUGAGAACUGACCACAGGACGCCGGCUGCAGCUCGUAGUGAACCUGUAGUCCAGAAAAAACAUGUUGAGCGCAGUGAUCUACAGAACCUCAGCAUGAAGGACCUGAAUGCACUUUGUGCGUCUCUCAGCCAGAACAUCCAAGACCUGAGCUCAGACCUGGUGGGCCGCCUGCAGGCCCGAGACCAGCUGAGGACGGAGCAGGACGCCAUGCUGCUGGAGGUCCAGGACCUGACGUCGCAGUGAGCCUGCGGAUCGCUCCGAGCUGGAGUUCCCACAGACACACAAUCUUAAAUGUUCUGAGUCGGCCUCUACGAACAUCUCAGUCAGUCCCUCCGCCUGUCGGUCUGACCAGCCAAACAAUGUGAAGAGUGUCGCUCCCUGAAAGGACAAGGACAUUCCGUUUUAAUGUUACUCAGUGUAUUAUGUAUUUAUAAGGAAACCUUUGUCCACCAGCAGUGGUUUGAAACUCGUGGCAGAACCAGCUUUGUUCAGUCACAGUUGUACGGUACGGUCGACAAACAGAAACUGAGUAAAACGCCACAUCUGGGCAGUGGUUGCUGACCUGAGAGGAACAAACUCUUUUCAUCCGGGUCACGUUUUUGGGCGGUUCUAGACACGGAGAGAUGUCACUGAUCAAGUGUCUGACAUCAGAGUCGUCGCUCAAAGGAUCCGAGUAGUGUUGAUGAAGUCCAUCUUCAUUUCCCUCAUCGUGGGGAUUUAUGACCACUUGUGCCGACACUAAGGAGCAACGUUUCCGUCAGCAGAUCCCAGUCCUUUUCGUAUCUGGCUCAAGAGUAUAUUUUCAAAAUACUACGUACAAAAAUAGGGGAAAGACUUACGGUUGGAUGACUAUUCUCCUCACCCCUCCUGAGUUAUGCGUAUUGUUUAUUUCUUUGAACCGAUAGCCUGGUUAAAUAGUUAAUUAUUAACUUCUCCAUUGCAAAGAGGUUUGCUCUACUAAUGUUGAAAUGUCAUUAACAUUUUUUUUGGACUGUAAGGGUAUUUUUAAGUGCUAUUGUCAGUACUAGUCUGUAACGUGUGGCUCAUCUUUGAACACAAGGAUUCAAAAGGGACUCCUGUUUAGAAGCUGCUAAUUCUGUCAACGCAGAAUUCUAUUUUGUUUUUCUAAUUUGUGUAGUUGUAGUUUUUUUGUAUUAUUUUAUGUUCAUGUUUAUCUUUGUGUAGCCUUUCUCAUCCCUCUUUGUCCAAACAUUAUGUGGUUCAGAACCGAGCCAGAACCAACUUCCAACAGGAAUAUCCUGUAUUCAUCAUUGACAAAUAUAGGUCUUGGCUACAAUCGGCACUUAUCCAUUUGAAAAUACUUCAAAUACAACUCCCAAGUUAUUAAAUAUGUUAUGCAAAUUAUUCCAGAAAAUGUUCACAUCAAAGCUAGAAGCGAAGAAAGACACCGACUUGCCAGACGAGACUACGCGAAAGACGCCGAUAUCCAAAUGACAGGAGGCAAAAAUCCAGAUUUGGACUGUAGUCUCUCUGCCGUGAGGCCUGCGAAAAGCCUCUUCUAGAGUAGUUUCUCUUUGCUCUUCUCAACGUGGAACUUCACACGCUUACUGUCUGUGCUAUCGCGUACAUGUGUUUUAUUUGUUUUGUUAAUUCUCAAAAUCCCUUUUUUUGUCUUUGUCUUUUGUCUAUCUAUUUCUUCACCAGUAACAUAUAAAUUGAUUUUUACACAUCAGAACACUCAGUGUUUAGUGUUUCCUUUAUCCUAACAGGAAAGAAGAAGACAAUUGUUUACACAGACGAGGUGGUUUCAGUGUUAUUACUCUUUUUAUCAUAGGCACGCCAUUUUCUGAGCAAAGGCCAAAAAGCAGGCUCGGGGACCUUAUGUUAAAUUAAGUCCAAGGGUUUUUUGUUAAAGGGUUUUUAAUGUAAAACAAAGUUUUCUCGUCGUCCAGAAUAGCUUAAGAGGAUUUUUUUUUAA
Gasterosteus aculeatus aculeatus (three-spined stickleback) is the source of this 2967-nucleotide long non-coding RNA. The record is from Ensembl. NCBI's taxonomy places the organism in Eukaryota, Metazoa, Chordata, Actinopteri, Perciformes, Gasterosteidae.